UUUUUUUUUUAGUGAACUGUUUAUAACACAGUCUUAAUUAAUUUAAAUUCUCAUAAACAUUAAUUAUUAACUUUAUUAUGCUUAUUAAAGUUUAAUGAAAUAUUUUAGAAUUUCAAAUGUGUAUUCUUAUUGGUCUUGGAACAAAAAUAUGAAAAAAAAAAAAAAAAAACUUGUCUUCUAUGCUAUUAAUAGUGUUUUUUUAUAGGGCUAUAAUGUUUUUCAUG
Molecule: long non-coding RNA, 224 nt
Filed under: Musa acuminata (dwarf banana)
Lineage: Eukaryota; Viridiplantae; Streptophyta; Magnoliopsida; Zingiberales; Musaceae
Description: long non-coding RNA (MACU_LNC003460)
Source: RNAcentral